CCUACGGGAGGCAGCAGUGAGGAAUAUUGGUCAAUGGGCGGAAGCCUGAACCAGCCAAGUAGCGUGCAGGAUGACGGCCCUACGGGUUGUAAACUGCUUUUAUACGGGAAUAACGCGCCUUACGUGUAGGGUUUUGCAUGUACCGUAUGAAUAAGGACCGGCUAAUUCCGUGCCAGCAGCCGCGGUAAUAAGGGAGGUCCGGGCGUUAUCCGGAUUUAUUGGGUUUAAAGGGAGCGUAGGCCGCAUGUCAAGCGUGCUGUGAAAUGUCCGGGCUCAACCCGGGCCUUGCAGCGCGAACUGGCGUGCUUGAGUCCGCGGAAAGCAGGCGGAAUUCGUCGUGUAGCGGUGAAAUGCUUAGAUAUGACGAAGAACCCCGAUUGCGAAGGCAGCUUGCUGCAGCGGAACUGACGCUGAUGCUCGAAAGCGCGGGUAUCGAACAGGAUUAGAUACCCUUGUAGUC
RNAcentral lists this ribosomal RNA (460 nucleotides) under uncultured bacterium. RNAcentral describes it as "partial 16S ribosomal RNA". It matches the Rfam family "Bacterial small subunit ribosomal RNA", at positions 338 to 795 of the family's 1533-position model. The record is from RNAcentral.